This 462-nucleotide ribosomal RNA is filed under the name uncultured bacterium. RNAcentral's name for it is "partial 16S ribosomal RNA". It matches the Rfam family "Bacterial small subunit ribosomal RNA", at positions 28 to 507 of the family's 1533-position model. The record is from RNAcentral.
GACGAACGCUGGCGGCGUGCUUAACACAUGCAAGUCGAGCGGUAAGGCCUUUCGGGGUACACGAGCGGCGAACGGGUGAGUAACACGUGGGUGAUCUGCCCUGCACUUCGGGAUAAGCCUGGGAAACUGGGUCUAAUACCGGAUAUGACCUCCUAUCGCAUGGUGGGUGGUGGAAAGAUUUAUCGGUGCAGGAUGGGCCCGCGGCCUAUCAGCUUGUUGGUGGGGUAAUGGCCUACCAAGGCGACGACGGGUAGCCGACCUGAGAGGGUGACCGGCCACACUGGGACUGAGACACGGCCCAGACUCCUACGGGGGGCAGCAGUGGGGAAUAUUGCACAAUGGGCGAAAGCCUGAUGCAGCGACGCCGCGUGAGGGAUGACGGCCUUCGGGUUGUAAACCUCUUUCAGCAGGGACGAAGCGCAAGUGACGGUACCUGCAGAAGAAGCACCGGCUAACUACGUG